RNAcentral lists this long non-coding RNA (1100 nucleotides) under Homo sapiens (human). RNAcentral's name for it is "long non-coding RNA NONHSAT198793.1". The record is from RNAcentral. Lineage: Eukaryota; Metazoa; Chordata; Mammalia; Primates; Hominidae.
GCUUUGAUUGUAUGUUCUGGAAAUCUGAUGGUUCUAGGAUACUCUCAGAGGGUGCUGCCAGCAGACAGCCUCUCAGCUCUUAGCCCCCUUUGAGGAUGACCUCAGCUGACAAAAGCUGCCUAACCUAGCCUACACACUCUUCAUAGGUAGCCUUCAUUCAAUGACUGAUGAACAUGUGGUUAUAAAAGCCUGGCCACUUCACCCCAAUUCAGGACAGCUGGUGUUGGCCCCCAAAAUACUUCCUAAUAAAUCUCCUGCAUGAAAUCACCAUCUCAAAGUGUACCUUCUGGAGAAUACAGUGUUUGGAAAGCAGUAAGUCAUGGCUAAAUACAGCAAUAUGCUCUGGAGUUCACUUGGAUACUUCCCUAGGCAAAAGGCAAGUCCAAUUAUGGAUAAACAUGGCUAGACUACGAGCUCAACAUCAAGAAAAGCCAUUUCACCUAUGUAACCAACUAACCUAGAUGACCAAGCCUAAUUAUAGAGUUUUCAUUCAAAACCACUUUGUGCUUGGUAGACACUAAAUUGAAGCAAGGCAGCAAGUGGGUCUCACAGCCAGUCCCUCAAAGACGUAUCAAAAGCAGGAACUUCUUAAAACACUAGAAACUGAACUAGUACUUUACAACCCAUCAGCAAACUAAAGACGGGGAAGACCACACAAAGAUUAUUCACCUUAAUCAAAAACAUGGGACCAGCUCAGCAGCUCAUCACCACAGAAAAUAGAUGAAUGGAAAGAAAAUGGCUGCUCUAGACACGAGGCAAUUUCUGGAAAUCAGGAUGGUGACAUUGGAGAAGAAACUGAAGAUUCUUGGAGAAAUAUUAACUUCAUCUCAGUAAAAUGGAAGGCUUGCCAUGUUUCUCCUGUGGCUUUGACUACUCCUGGCACAUUGUACCUGCAACUUCCCUGCCUGGCCCUCACCCUGAGGCACAAAGACUCCAGUUUGAAAAGUGUAUAAUAUCAAUAUUCUUACAUUCAAGUUGCUUUAAUAUCUGUUAACAUAAACCAAAGCAAGUUAUAGUUAUGGGCUGGUAAGAAGAGAACAACCAUCUAUUGAAAACCGUCUACAGAUAAGUGCUUUGUAUAAUAAAUUAUUUGCUUUAAU